Molecule: ribosomal RNA, 21 nt
Filed under: uncultured Basidiomycota
Lineage: Eukaryota; Fungi; Basidiomycota
Also listed under: 1 other name
Description: partial 18S ribosomal RNA
Source: RNAcentral
CUGCGGAAGGAUCAUUAUUGA